This 65-nucleotide transfer RNA is filed under the name Pomacea bridgesi. Its description in RNAcentral is "tRNA-His". RNAcentral also lists the same sequence under 1 other name. Lineage: Eukaryota; Metazoa; Mollusca; Gastropoda; Architaenioglossa; Ampullariidae. The record is from RNAcentral.
AUUAAAUUAGUUUAAAACAAAACACUAGGUUGUGGUUCUAGAAAAGAAAUAUUUUUCAUUUAAUC